RNAcentral lists this long non-coding RNA (2148 nucleotides) under Triticum aestivum (bread wheat). RNAcentral's name for it is "long non-coding RNA (TAES_LNC010334)". The record is from RNAcentral. Lineage: Eukaryota; Viridiplantae; Streptophyta; Magnoliopsida; Poales; Poaceae.
GGAGUCCCUGGGCACUCUUGUGUGACGCCUCUGCACUGCCUUUGAGGAGCACGAUGACUGCCUGGAGGCCAAGCUGUUUGAUGUGUCCGUCAGGUCCGUACUUUCCUGCCUCUUCCCUGCCCUCCCCUCUUACUCUCAAACUCAAGCACCAACUCGACGGCAAGCACCAUGCAGCAGCUCAGUCAAAGCCCGGUACUCUUUCUGAAUUUUAUUUGUACCUACAACACAUACCCGUUAUGUCUGAUGCUAAAUUUUGAACACAGAAAUACAUUGAACGGACAAGUGCUGAACCGGUUCACUGACUAGCCUGAUUGAUUCAAUCCCCAUGUGCUUGUGUCAAUGCCUGCAAGGGAGCAAGCGUACUGGCGGGAUGGUUGGAAGGAGAGUAAUUUGCUACAAAGCUUAUUAUUUAUGGUUAUUUCCUGAAUCUCUGGUAUAAUAUACAAUACAUUAUGUAGAAACCAAAAUGAUGUUCAUAGAGAUCUCAGAAUUAGGUGAAUAUCAUUAUGCUUGUGUUAUCUUUUUCAUUUUAUGAUUUAGCACCAGUCGCCAACUAUGGUUACCGUGUGUGGCUUGAAUCCAAUAGCAUGUGAUUGAACAAAUGAACGAAAUAUAGGUGAAACAUUUAAUUUUUAGAAGAGAUGGGUGAUACGUACUUCCGUUCAAGUGUUCCCUAAAUUUUUUCAUAGUUUGCAUUGGGACACAGUAAUUGCUUAAAGCAUUUAUUUGACUGCAAUGUUGCUUGCCGGCAUCUCCGCCAUUCAUCUUGUCAUUGACAGAAACCCCAUCUUGUCACUGAUAGAACCCCAGGCUCUUCCACCUAUAGCAAACAAAUAAAAGGACUUGAUUUAUGGGCUUGUAAAUUGGUUGUAUCUACAUGGAAGGUUUAUGGAUUGUGAACCUUUUACUCCGUCUUAUCCUUAGGCUGCACAACAUUUACUUUAGCAAAGGUCUCUCUGUUGCUGAGAUUCUUAAAAAUGGAUGGGAGUCGGUGCAAAGUACAUGGACACAUUGGUGCGAUAUUUUAAAAUUGAGAAACAGCCUCCAAGCUACUUGUGAAGGUGUCAAUUUCUGCAUUGAUAAAGAUUCAAUUAUACUUCUGAUGGGAUUUUUUCUGUUAGCUGUCUCUACAAGAGAAUGAACUUGAGAAAUAUUAAUUUCUAGAUAAAUUUCUUUGGAAAGUGAAGCUUCCCCUGAAAAUUAAAGUUUUUCAUUGCUGGUUUUGAAAAAAUAAACAUACUAACUAAAGCCAAUUUAUUCAAAUGAUGUUUUCAGGGAGAUAAAACCUGUCAAUUACGUGGUAGAGAUUAGAUUAUUGGUGCAAAGGAAUCGGUAUUACAACAGAACUUGAAGCUGACGAGGAUGGUUGACGUUUGGUUUUGGUGGAAAGUCAGGUGCAUAUGAACAACCUAUUAUCUUCCAUUUGUUUUUCAUCAUUCAAUGGGGGCAAUUUCCUAGUUCUUUUUUAGUACUGUCUGGAAAGGUUAUUAGUACGGAUAUAAGUUUGUCAAAAUUUAUUAGCACAUAUGAGGUUCUUUGUUUGGACCCCCAUUGGCUCUACAUAAUUUUUUGGAGUGGGAUUCUAGAUAGCUGCUUUUAUAUGAACCUCGUAAAAAAGUAUUAUGCCGUUGAUCCUAACUGACUGUUUAUAUGUCGGACGAUUUCAACUUGCUAUGUCCCAACAUACUUUUUUUAACAAAAACUGUAGAAGUCCUAACAGUCUACACUUCUGCAUUGUAUCUUGAAAUGCAGAUCAUUUCUCUAGCAUUCUGGCAAAUGGUAGUUUGCAGAUUGAUGAGUUGGUUCCAGUUCCUUUAGCAGGUACAUCACAUCUCAAUCAUAAUUCUGCCCCACUACCCAACAAAAAAAAAUACGACGGUGAUGUUCAUUGGUGCUUGGCCUCCAGAAGUGGGUUUGUCGGAUUUUCAUUUUCUUUGUAUAAUAAAUGUAAUACAUAACUCCUGGAGCCUAUGGAUUUUGGGGAGAUAGUGUAUGUACUGUAGGUUCAUUCUGUUUUCUCCUAAUGAAACUUGGGGUGUGUGCACAAUUACAGAAUUACCAAGGAGACAUUUUUCGGACAGAAAGAAAAUCUAAUAUUUGGUUUCCGUCCAUUUUCUACUUGCAUUAGCAUUAUAAAACACAAUGAAU